AUGGCUGUCGUCAGCUCGUGCCGUGAGGUGUUGGGUUAAGUCCCGCAACGAGCGCAACCCCUGCUUUCAGUUGCUACCGGGUCAUGCCGAGCACUCUGAAAGGACUGCCCAGGAGAACGGGGAGGAAGGUGGGGGUGACGUCAAGUCAGCAUGGCCUUUAUGCCUGGGGCCACACACGUGCUACAAUGGCCGGUACAAAGCGCUGCAAACCCGUGAGGGGGAGCCAAUCGCAAAAAACCGGCCUCAGUUCAGAUUGAGGUCUGCAACUCGACCUCAUGAAGGCGGAAUCGCUAGUAAUCGCGGAUCAGCACGCCGCGGUGAAUACGUUCCCGGGCCUUGUACACACCGCCCGUCACACCACGAAAGCCUGUUGUACCUGAAGUCGCCCACGCCAACCGCAAGGAGGCAGUGCCCACGGUAUGGCCGGUGAUUGGGUG
Molecule: ribosomal RNA, 437 nt
Filed under: uncultured bacterium
Lineage: Bacteria
Description: bacterial SSU rRNA
Rfam family: Bacterial small subunit ribosomal RNA
Source: RNAcentral